UUUUUCUUGUAAACAAUUUGCGAUACAUUGAAGUUCCAAAACUUCUGUUCUCGCAUAUUUUCAUAAAGAAUCUGCACCGAGGAUUGUGAGUAACAAUGUUGCGGUUCAACAAGCGGCUGAUAGUUUCCCGAAUAUACGACGGAUUUAAAAAAGAAUGAUAGUUUCUGCAACAUGCGAGCAAAACUUCCUAACUUUUGGAAGUCUGGAGGGUCUUAUCAUUAGUAUGCAUAGUUAACAAAUAGAAAUAUUUAGAUUGACAAUUACGUUCUCUGCUUCGUUGGAAUGCAGUUUCCGCCUAAAAUGUUACUGAAAUCCA
Long non-coding RNA from Armigeres subalbatus, 316 nucleotides. RefSeq lists it as uncharacterized. NCBI's taxonomy places the organism in Eukaryota, Metazoa, Arthropoda, Insecta, Diptera, Culicidae. The record is from RefSeq and is a predicted model, not a curated record. The transcript has 3 exons.